Molecule: transfer RNA, 63 nt
Filed under: Maruca vitrata
Lineage: Eukaryota; Metazoa; Arthropoda; Insecta; Lepidoptera; Crambidae
Description: tRNA-Tyr
Source: RNAcentral
ACAAAAAAGAAUUUUUGGCGUCAAUAAAUUUACAAUUUAUCGCUUAUAACGUCAGCCAUUUUA